This 444-nucleotide ribosomal RNA is filed under the name Bufo gargarizans (Asiatic toad). RNAcentral describes it as "partial 12S ribosomal RNA". It matches the Rfam family "Bacterial small subunit ribosomal RNA", at positions 885 to 1522 of the family's 1533-position model. The record is from RNAcentral. Lineage: Eukaryota; Metazoa; Chordata; Amphibia; Anura; Bufonidae.
AGCUAAGCUUAAAACCCAAAGGACUUGACGGUACCCCAUAUCCCCCUAGAGGAGCCUGUCCUAUAAUCGAUAAUCCACGUUAAACCUCACCAUUUUUAGUUACUCAGCCUGUAUACCUCCGUCGUCAGCUUACCACGUGAGCGCUAAUUAGUGAGCUUAAUGUUUAUUCACCAACACGUCAGGUCAAGGUGCAGCAAAUGAAGUGGAAAGAGAUGGGCUACACUUUCUAAAUUAGAAGAAACGAAAAACUAUCUAUGAAACCUAGUUAGAAGGCGGAUUUAGCAGUAAAAAGGAAUCAGCACGUCCAUUUUAACCCGGCACUGGGGUGUGUACACACCGCCCGUCACCCUCUUCAAAGCUAUCAGCCUAGUCCUUAACAAACUAAAGCACGACAGAAGAGGCAAGUCGUAACAUGGUAAGUAUACCGGAAGGUGUGCUUGGAAA